Molecule: ribosomal RNA, 371 nt
Filed under: uncultured bacterium
Lineage: Bacteria
Description: bacterial SSU rRNA
Rfam family: Bacterial small subunit ribosomal RNA
Source: RNAcentral
AGAGGGGGCAAGCGUUGUUCGGAAUUACUGGGCGUAAAGGGCGCGUAGGUGGCCUUCUAAGUUGAACGUGAAAUCCCUGGGCUCAACCCAGGAACUGCGUCCAAGACUGGGAGGCUUGAAUCCGGGAGAGGGAUGCGGAAUUCCAGGUGUAGCGGUGAAAUGCGUAGAUAUCUGGAGGAACACCGGUGGCGAAGGCGGCAUCCUGGACCGGCAUUGACACUGAGGCGCGAAAGCCAGGGGAGCAAACGGGAUUAGAUACCCCGGUAGUCCUGGCCCUAAACGAUGAAUGCUUGGUGUGGCGGGUAUCGAUCCCUGCCGUGCCGAAGCUAACGCAUUAAGCAUUCCGCCUGGGGAGUACGGUCGCAAGGCUG